AUGAUGCCCUUGGGAAUGUACCGGCACCACCCCACGGGCGAGUACCGGAUACUGCUGUAUGAUAAAAAUGAGGAAGAAGUUGAGGAAAUAUAUGUCCGUGAUGGUGGUUGCUGCAUCUUUGAAUUGGGUUCCGUACGUCCAGCCAUCAAGGAACAUCGGGUGCCCGCCCGAGGCGGAACAGGUGCUUUCACGCUGUGGGCAUGGGGCAACUGUCUUGUUACGUGGCAACAUGCAUUGGUACCUAGAGCAACGUGA
RNAcentral lists this ribosomal RNA (255 nucleotides) under Triticum aestivum (bread wheat). RNAcentral's name for it is "partial small subunit ribosomal RNA". Lineage: Eukaryota; Viridiplantae; Streptophyta; Magnoliopsida; Poales; Poaceae. The record is from RNAcentral.